CUAUGACUUUAAGUAAGUCAUGGCGGAAGGAG
Molecule: non-coding RNA, 32 nt
Filed under: unclassified sequences
Description: L31-Firmicutes ribosomal protein leader
Rfam family: L31-Firmicutes ribosomal protein leader
Source: RNAcentral